RNAcentral lists this transfer RNA (76 nucleotides) under Maesaipsyche stengeli. RNAcentral describes it as "tRNA-Pro". The record is from RNAcentral. Lineage: Eukaryota; Metazoa; Arthropoda; Insecta; Trichoptera; Hydropsychidae.
CAGUAAAUAGUUUAUUAAAAUAAUAAUUUUGGAGAUUAUUGAUAUAGUUAAAAAUCAUAUAAAACUAUUUUAUUGA